UGGGAAUAUUGGACAAUGGGCGCAAGCCUGAUCCAGCAACGCCGCGUGGAGGAUGAAGGUCUUCGGAUCGUAAACCCCUGUCAGGUGGGACGAAGGCAGGGGGGUGAAUAAUCUUCCUGUUUGACGGUACCACCAGAGGAAGCCCCGGCUAACUCCGUGCCAGCAGCCGCGGUAAUACGGAGGGGCGAGCGUUAUUCGGAAUUAUUGGGCGUAAAGGGCGCGUAGGCGGCUUGACAAGUCAAAGGUGAAAUCCCUCGGCUCAACUGAGGAACUGCCUUUGAAACUGUCUGGCUUGAGGCCGGGAGAGGGUAGCGGAAUUCCCAGUGUAGCGGUGAAAUGCGUAGAUACUGGGAGGAACACCGGUGGCGAAAGGCGGCUACCUGGACCGGUUCUGACGCUGAUGCGCGAAAGCGUGGGUAGCAAACAGGAUUAGAUACCCUGGUAGUCCACGCUGUAAACGAUGGGUGCUCGGUGUCGCGGGUAUCGA
RNAcentral lists this ribosomal RNA (487 nucleotides) under uncultured Acidobacteriota bacterium. RNAcentral describes it as "bacterial SSU rRNA". It matches the Rfam family "Bacterial small subunit ribosomal RNA", at positions 356 to 835 of the family's 1533-position model. Lineage: Bacteria; Pseudomonadati; Acidobacteriota. The record is from RNAcentral.